GACGCUGGCGGCGUGCUUAACACAUGCAAGUCGAACGGUGACGAGGAGCUUGCUCCUCUGAUCAGUGGCGAACGGGUGAGUAACACGUGAGCAACCUGCCCCAGACUCUGGGAUAACAGUUGGAAACAGCUGCUAAUACCGGAUACGAGACGGAGAGGCAUCUCUACCGUCUGGAAAGUUUUUCGGUCUGGGAUGGACUCGCGGCCUAUCAGCUAGUUGGUGAGGUAAUGGCUCACCAAGGCGACGACGGGUAGCCGGCCUGAGAGGGCGACCGGCCACACUGGGACUGAGACACGGCCCAGACUCCUACGGGAGGCAGCAGUGGGGAAUAUUGCACAAUGGGCGAAAGCCUGAUGCAGCGACGCCGCGUGAGGGAUGACGGCCUUCGGGGUGUAAAGUUCUUUUAUAUGUGAGCAGUGCUUCUUAUAUUAACAGUAUGGGGAGAGAGAUAUUAGCAUAUGAAUAAGCAACGGCUAACUCCGUG
Molecule: ribosomal RNA, 484 nt
Filed under: uncultured bacterium
Lineage: Bacteria
Description: bacterial SSU rRNA
Rfam family: Bacterial small subunit ribosomal RNA
Source: RNAcentral